This 917-nucleotide long non-coding RNA is filed under the name Pan troglodytes (chimpanzee). RNAcentral describes it as "long non-coding RNA NONPTRT010031". Lineage: Eukaryota; Metazoa; Chordata; Mammalia; Primates; Hominidae. The record is from RNAcentral.
GUAUUUUUAGUAGAGACGGAGUUUUUUAGUAAAGACGGGGUUUCACUGUGUUAGCCAGGACGGUCUCCAUUUCCUGACCUCGUGAUCCACCCGCCUUGGCCUCCCAAAGUGCUGGGAUUACAGGCGUGAGCCACCGCACCUGGCCUAUUAAAUCCUCUUUAAGGUGGAAUAUAGUUGACAAGCCGACAUCAGUCUCCAGAGUGAAUCCAAGGAGUGGACCCAAGACAUUUGUGUUCUGUGAUGUGGUGGCAUGUUACCUGUCAUCUCUGAUGCAUAACUCCUAAAGUGUUUGCGUCUGGGGCAGUUGUACAGAUUGCAAAGGAUAAUACUCAAGAUGUCCUCCAAGGCCAACUACUCAUCAGUUUAUUCAUGAGGAGCGUCAGAUAAUUAGGCAGCAGUCCAACAAUUAGGUUUUGUGGAACUUUUACUAUGUCAUCUAUUUAUUGGAAUUCCCUCUGGAUACCAGGACCCCCUCCAGCAGAGCUUAAAGUUAUAGUUACAGGAAGUACAAAUUCCGUAUGUGGAUCCCUGGAAGUGUGAUGAGAAGAACCACUGUUUCCAAGAUCUAUUUAUUCUAUUUAUCAGGCCUAUAAAAUCAUGUAAUGGCCAUGGCUUCAACUAGACUCCACAUCUUGAAUCACAGAACUCAACGAAUGGCAUCAACUACAAGCUGGUAUUCUGCUAUACAUUUAAGAGGCCAUUUUAAUAUUCUAUUAGUCUAGCAGCUUCUAAGUGAUGAGGGAUAUAGGGGGACUGGAGGAUCCCGUGCUCACUUCCUUUUCUGUAAAAGGAGCUCUUUGAUCCAAGGUGACAUGGUAUGGGAUCCAAUGACAAUAAAUCAGUUAUUCUGUGAACCCUGAUCAAAACUUGACUAAACUUUUGACAGUUAGGUUUUUUCCUGACCACAGACUCCUCCC